AAUGAUGUGGCUCAAUGAUAGAGCACUUGGCUAGCAUACAAGAGGCCUGGAUUUCAUUCCCAUUAUUG
RNAcentral lists this transfer RNA (68 nucleotides) under Cavia porcellus (domestic guinea pig). It matches the Rfam family "tRNA". From Rfam's summary of the family: Transfer RNA (tRNA) molecules are approximately 80 nucleotides in length. Their secondary structure includes four short double-helical elements and three loops (D, anti-codon, and T loops). Lineage: Eukaryota; Metazoa; Chordata; Mammalia; Rodentia; Caviidae. The record is from Rfam by way of RNAcentral.